UUUAUGGAGAGUUUGAUCCUGGCUCAGAGUGAACGCUGGCGGCGUGCCUAAUACAUGCAAGUCGAACGAUGAAGCUUCUAGCUUGCUAGAAGUGGAUUAGUGGCGCACGGGUGAGUAACGCAUAGGUCAUGUGCCUCUUAGUUUGGGAUAGCCAUUGGAAACGAUGAUUAAUACCAGAUACUCCCUACGGGGGAAAGAUUUAUCGCUAAGAGAUCAGCCUAUGUCCUAUCAGCUUGUUGGUAAGGUAAUGGCUUACCAAGGCUAUGACGGGUAUCCGGCCUGAGAGGGUGAACGGACACACUGGAACUGAGACACGGUCCAGACUCCUACGGGAGGCAGCAGUAGGGAAUAUUGCUCAAUGGGGGAAACCCUGAAGCAGCAACGCCGCGUGGAGGAUGAAGGUUUUAGGAUUGUAAACUCCUUUUGUUAGAGAAGAUAAUGACGGUAUCUAACGAAUAAGCACCGGCUAACUCCGUGCCAGCAGCCGCGGUAAUACGGAGGGUGCAAGCGUUACUCGGAAUCACUGGGCGUAAAGAGCGCGUAGGCGGGAUAGUCAGUCAGGUGUGAAAUCCUAUGGCUUAACCAUAGAACUGCAUUUGAAACUACUAUUCUAGAGUGUGGGAGAGGUAGGUGGAAUUCUUGGUGUAGGGGUAAAAUCCGUAGAGAUCAAGAGGAAUACUCAUUGCGAAGGCGACCUGCUGGAACAUUACUGACGCUGAUUGCGCGAAAGCGUGGGGAGCAAACAGGAUUAGAUACCCUGGUAGUCCACGCCCUAAACGAUGGAUGCUAGUUGUUGGAGGGCUUAGUCUCUCCAGUAAUGCAGCUAACGCAUUAAGCAUCCCGCCUGGGGAGUACGGUCGCAAGAUUAAAACUCAAAGGAAUAGACGGGGACCCGCACAAGCGGUGGAGCAUGUGGUUUAAUUCGAAGAUACACGAAGAACCUUACCUAGGCUUGACAUUGAGAGAAUCCGCUAGAAAUAGUGGAGUGUCUAGCUUGCUAGACCUUGAAAACAGGUGCUGCACGGCUGUCGUCAGCUCGUGUCGUGAGAUGUUGGGUUAAGUCCCGCAACGAGCGCAACCCCCUUUCUUAGUUGCUAACAGGUUAUGCUGAGAACUCUAAGGAUACUGCCUCCGUAAGGAGGAGGAAGGUGGGGACGACGUCAAGUCAUCAUGGCCCUUACGCCUAGGGCUACACACGUGCUACAAUGGGGUGCACAAAGAGAAGCAAUACUGCGAAGUGGAGCCAAUCUUCAAAACACCUCUCAGUUCGGAUUGUAGGCUGCAACUCGCCUGCAUGAAGCUGGAAUCGCUAGUAAUCGCAAAUCAGCCAUGUUGCGGUGAAUACGUUCCCGGGUCUUGUACUCACCGCCCGUCACACCAUGGGAGUUGUGUUUGCCUUAAGUCAGGAUGCUAAAUUGGCUACUGCCCACGGCACACACAGCGACUGGGGUGAAGUCGUAACAAGGUAACCGUAGGUGAACCUGCGGUUGGAUCACCUCCUUUCUAGA
Molecule: ribosomal RNA, 1508 nt
Filed under: Helicobacter pylori
Lineage: Bacteria; Pseudomonadati; Campylobacterota; Epsilonproteobacteria; Campylobacterales; Helicobacteraceae
Description: bacterial SSU rRNA
Rfam family: Bacterial small subunit ribosomal RNA
Source: RNAcentral